This is a long non-coding RNA of Labrus mixtus (cuckoo wrasse), 433 nucleotides long. RefSeq lists it as uncharacterized. The record is from RefSeq and is a predicted model, not a curated record. The transcript is spliced from 5 exons. NCBI's taxonomy places the organism in Eukaryota, Metazoa, Chordata, Actinopteri, Labriformes, Labridae.
UAUAAAUACAUAUAACGUGCAAAAGGUGUGCAUUAAAAACAAAAAGCAGCAUGUGCAUGGACUUAUGCUGGUGUCUUUCUAUUGAUGCCAUCUCUAAUCUUCUCUGCUUUAGUUUCAGGUUUUUCUGACAACAUGCUAUCAACAGCAUCAAAUGACCCAGUCUAUGAACAUGUUGCUGAAGCCAAAGCACAACGAGACAUUUACGCUAAAGUCAUAAAAAGCAAGAGAAGAAGAGAGCGUCCUGAGUCGACCAUGAAUGACGUGAUGUACUCUGUCGUCUCCGUCACAAAUAAGAAGACAGUGAGAGGAGAGGUCAACAAACCAGAAACAAACGAAGUAGUGUACGCUUCAGUCUCACAAUGACCAGAGUGACAGGAAACCGACUGAAGGAGACUCGACAAACCGCGUAUGAAUCAAUUCUCUCCCUUUGUUU